GAGUUUGAUCCUGGCUCAGAACGAACGUUGGCGGCGUGGAUUAGGCAUGCAAGUCGAACGCGAAAGUUUCCUUCGGGGAGCGAGUAGAGUGGCGAACGGGUGAGUAAUGCGUAGAUGACCUACCCAGAUGAUCGGGACAACCACUCGAAAGGGUGGCUAAUACCGGAUGUGGUCGGAUUCCUGCGGGUUUCCUACGAAAGAUGGCCUCUGACUCAAGCUGUCGCAUUUGGAGGGGUUUACGUGCUAUUAGCUUGUUGGUGGGGUAACGGCCUACCAAGGCGAUGAUGGCUAGCCGGCCUGAGAGGGUGUCCGGCCACACUGGGACUGAGACACUGCCCAGACUCCUACGGGAGGCUGCAGUCGAGAAUCUUCCACCAAUGCGCGAAAGCGUGAUGGAGCAACGCCGCGUGUGCGAUGAAGGCUUUCGGGUUGUAAAGCACUGUUGGAAGGGCGUAAUUGCCAUCGGUUAAUACCCGUGUGGUUUGAACUCCCUUCGGAGGAAGCACCGGCUAAAUUCGUGCCAGCAGCCGCGGUAAUACGAAUGGUGCAAACGUUGUUCGGAAUCACUGGGCAUAAAGAGCACGUAGGCGGUCCAGUCAGUCAGCUGUGAAAUCCCUCGGCUCAACCGAAGAACUGCAGCUGAUACCGCUGGGACUAGAGUACGGGGAAGGGGAGAGUGGAAUUCCUGGUUGAAGUCGGUGAUAUUGGGUAGAUAUCAGGAGGAACGCCGAGAGGCGAAAGCCGGCUCUCUGGUCCGUUACUGAUCGCUGAGAUGCGAAAGCUAGGGGAGCAAACAGGAUUAGAUACCCUGGUAGUCCUAGCUGUAAACGAUGGGCACUAAGUAGGGGGACUCCCAAGGUCUCCCUGCCGGAGCUAAUGUGUUAAGUGCCCCGCCUGGGAAGUACGGUCGCAAGGCUGAAACUCAAAGGAAUUGACGGGGGCUCACACAAGCGGUGGAGCAUGUUGUUUAAUUCGACGCAACGCGAAGAACCUUACCUGGGCUUGACAUUCAAGUGGUACCAAACCGAAAGGGGCGGGACCGUCUUUUGGCGGAGCUUGAACAGGUAUUGCAUGGCUGUCGUCAGCUCGUGUCGUGAGAUGUUGGGUUAAGUCCCGUAACGAGCGCAACCCUUGUCCUUAGUUGCCAGCGGAUCAUGCCGGGGACUCUAGGGAGACUGCCGGUGUUAAACCGGAGGAAGGCGGGGAUGACGUCAAGUCAUCAUGGUCCUUACGCCCAGGGCUACAAACGUGCUACAAUGGUCGGUACAAAGAGACGCUAGACCGCGAGGUCACGCAAAUCUCAAAAAGCCGGCCCCAGUUCGGAUUGGAGGCUGCAAUUCGCCUCCAUGAAGUCGGAAUCGCUAGUAAUCGCAGAUCAGCUACGCUGCGGUGAAUAUGUUCCUGAGCCUUGUACACACCGCCCGUCAAGCCACCCAAAUAGGCAGCACCCGAAGUCGCAGACCCAACCUUAGGGAGGGAUGCGCCGAAGGUGAGGUUUGUGAGGGGGACUAAGUCGUAACAAGGUAGC
This 1528-nucleotide ribosomal RNA is filed under the name uncultured bacterium. RNAcentral's name for it is "bacterial SSU rRNA". It matches the Rfam family "Bacterial small subunit ribosomal RNA". The record is from RNAcentral.